This is a non-coding RNA of Ciona savignyi (Pacific transparent sea squirt), 46 nucleotides long. The record is from Rfam. NCBI's taxonomy places the organism in Eukaryota, Metazoa, Chordata, Ascidiacea, Phlebobranchia, Cionidae.
CAAACGGCUCUUUUCAGAGCCACCCAUUGUUUUCAAAGAGAUUUAU